RNAcentral lists this ribosomal RNA (427 nucleotides) under Meruliporia incrassata. Its description in RNAcentral is "eukaryotic LSU rRNA". The stretch from base 298 to 427 matches the Rfam family "Eukaryotic large subunit ribosomal RNA", at positions 1 to 123 of the family's 3401-position model. Lineage: Eukaryota; Fungi; Basidiomycota; Agaricomycetes; Boletales; Coniophoraceae. The record is from RNAcentral.
ACGCACCUUGCGCUCCUUGGGUAUUCCGAGGAGCAUGCCUGUUUGAGUGUCAUUAAAUUCUCAACCCCUCCAAUUCGUUUUGGACGUGGGCUUGGGACUGUGGGGGUUUGCCGGGUGACCUUGUGUGGGUCGGCUCUCCUGAAAAUUUCAUUUGGGCAAGGGGACUGGUGUUGCGUGUUUGCCCUCGGGCGUGAAUAAUGAAUCGGUCGGUGUCUGGGCGGUGCAAGUAGGAAGUCCCUUUUUUGCCCACAACCGGUCGCCGCUCGGGGGUGACAAAUGCUUCUUUUGAAAAUUUUGACCCUCAAAUUCAGGUAAGGACUACCCCGCUGAACUUAAGCAUAUCAAUAAGCCGGAGGAAAAGAAACUAACAAGGAUUCCCCCUAGUAACUGCCGAGUGAAGCGGGAAAAAGCUCCAAAUUUUGAAUCU